This 588-nucleotide long non-coding RNA is filed under the name Equus caballus (horse). Its description in RNAcentral is "lncRNA (ENSECAG00000047444.1)". The record is from RNAcentral. Lineage: Eukaryota; Metazoa; Chordata; Mammalia; Perissodactyla; Equidae.
GGAUAACCGGAGGGGACAACAACACUGUAGAAAAGCACUUUUUAAAACUUGGAAUGAAUAUAUUCCAAGUUGGGAAAUGAGCCACUAAACAUCUUAUGCUUGCGUGACUUCUCCAUUUGUCAGAGGCAUCUACUCUGCCUCGAGGAAAUGUAGGAUUGUUAAAGCAAGAAUUUAAAAAGCAAGAACCAGCCGAUGUUCGAGGGUGAUGGGGCCUUGGCAUGCAGAGAUGAGACGGUGGAAGGAACAGUCCCAGCACUGAGACUUGGGUGCCAAGCCCGCACAGCUUAAGAGCAGAGGAGGAGCGUGCUUUUGUCAAAAGCGAUUGGACAUCUGAGGACAAGAACAUGACUGAAACAACCCAUCUCUCUAAUUCACUGUGUUCUACUUCAUCAGCAUCACUCCGAUAUUAUCAUCAUCUUCAUCAUAACCUCCAUCUAAAAAAGAUUUAUUACACAGUGUUUGCGUCUGUGGUCAAUAUAUAAUACAGACAAGACAAGUGCUCCCUUCCUGCUAUAGAUGAGUUUGCAAUUUAUAAAGGAGUGUGGUGCAGAGGAAACACCUUAUGCUUUGAAAUAAAACCAAACUGGG